AACCUCCGCAAUGUGAGAAAUCGCGACGGGGGGAUCCCAAGUGCCAUUCUUAACGGGAUGGCUUUUCAUUAGUGUAAAGAGCUUUUGGAAUAAGAGCUGGGCAAGACCGGUGCCAGCCGCCGCGGUAACACCGGCAGCUCUAGUGGUAACAAUUUUUAUUGGGCCUAAAGCGUCCGUAGCCGGUUUAAUAAGUCUCUGGUGAAAUCCUGUAGCUUAACUGUGGGAAUUGCUGGAGAUACUAUUAGACUUGAGACCGGGAGAGGUUAGAGGUACUCCCAGGGUAGAGGUGAAAUUCUGUAAUCCUGGGAGGACCGCCUGUUGCGAAGGCGUCUAACUGGAACGGUUCUGACGGUGAGGGACGAAAGUUAGGGGCGCGAACCGGAUUAGAUACCCGGGUAGUCCUAACUGUAAACGAUGCGGACUUGGUGUUGGGGUGGCUUUGAGCUGCUCCAGUGCCGAAGGGAAGCUGUUAAGUCCGCCGCCUGGGAAGUACGGUCGCAAGACUGAAACUUAGAGGAAUU
RNAcentral lists this ribosomal RNA (521 nucleotides) under uncultured bacterium. RNAcentral describes it as "bacterial SSU rRNA". It matches the Rfam family "Archaeal small subunit ribosomal RNA", at positions 345 to 866 of the family's 1478-position model. The record is from RNAcentral.